Small nuclear RNA from Tachysurus vachellii, 164 nucleotides. RefSeq annotates it as U1 spliceosomal RNA. The transcript has a single exon. Lineage: Eukaryota; Metazoa; Chordata; Actinopteri; Siluriformes; Bagridae. The record is from RefSeq and is a predicted model, not a curated record.
ACACUUACCUGGCACUGGCAAUACCAUGAUCAAGGAGGUGGUAUGCCCAAAGCGAGCCAUGGCCGUUGCACUUGGGCUGUGCUGACCUUUGCAAAUUCCCCAAAUGCGGGAAUCUGGACUGCAUAAUUUCUGAUAGUGGGGGACUGCAUUCGCGCUCUCCCCUG